GAGUUUGAUCGUGGCUCAGAGUGAACGCUGGCGGUAGGCCUAACACAUGCAAGUCGAACGGCAGCACAGUAAGAGCUUGCUCUUAUGGGUGGCGAGUGGCGGACGGGUGAGGAAUACAUCGGAAUCUACUUUUCGUGGGGAUAACGUAGGGAAACUUACGCUAAUACCGCAUACGACCUACGGGUGAAAGCAGGGGAUCUUCGGACCUUGCGCGAUUGAAUGAGCCGAUGUCGGAUUAGCUAGUUGGCGGGUAAAGGCCCACCAAGGCGACGAUCCGUAGCUGGUCUGAGAGGAUGAUCAGCCACACUGGAACUGAGACACGGUCCAGACUCCUACGGGAGGCAGCAGUGGGGAAUAUUGGACAAUGGGCGCAAGCCUGAUCCAGCCAUACCGCGUGGUGAAGAAGGCCUCGGUUGUAAGUCCUUCGUUGGUAAGAAGUACCAG
This 444-nucleotide ribosomal RNA is filed under the name uncultured microorganism. RNAcentral describes it as "bacterial SSU rRNA". It matches the Rfam family "Bacterial small subunit ribosomal RNA", at positions 9 to 456 of the family's 1533-position model. The record is from RNAcentral.